Molecule: ribosomal RNA, 405 nt
Filed under: uncultured bacterium
Lineage: Bacteria
Description: bacterial SSU rRNA
Rfam family: Bacterial small subunit ribosomal RNA
Source: RNAcentral
AAGGCUUGACAUAUACUGGACCGCAUCAGAGAUGGUGUUUCCCUUCGGGGCUGGUAUACAGGUGGUGCAUGGUUGUCGUCAGCUCGUGUCGUGAGAUGUUGGGUUAAGUCCCGCAACGAGCGCAACCCUCGUUCUAUGUUGCCAGCACGUUAUGGUGGGGACUCAUAGGAGACUGCCGGGGUCAACUCGGAGGAAGGUGGGGAUGACGUCAAAUCAUCAUGCCCCUUAUGUCUUGGGCUUCACGCAUGCUACAAUGGCCGGUACAGAGGGUUGCGAUACUGUGAGGUGGAGCUAAUCCCUAAAAGCCGGUCUCAGUUCGGAUUGGGGUCUGCAACUCGACCCCAUGAAGUCGGAGUCGCUAGUAAUCGCAGAUCAGCAACGCUGCGGUGAAUACGUUCCCGGGCC